UGUAUCAGUGAUGAUAACUUGGCUCCCUCUACUGAACUUUGUGAGGAGAUUGCCUCUGUUACCCAAAUUCUGUCUGAGGUACA
Small nucleolar RNA from Gambusia affinis (western mosquitofish), 83 nucleotides. Lineage: Eukaryota; Metazoa; Chordata; Actinopteri; Cyprinodontiformes; Poeciliidae. The record is from Ensembl.